AAGACUAUACUUUCAGGGAUCAUUUCUAUAGUAUGUGACUAGAGAGGUUUCUCUGAUCAUGCAGAGUUAGUGCAAAGUCAUGAGGAGGAGUCAAGUGUCCUCUCCUGAGCAUGAAGCCAGCUCUAGGUGUCACUUCUGUGACUGCCUCUUGCCAUUGAUGAUCUUUUUCCCUUUCCUCUGGAAGGGGUAGAGGGAGAGGAUGCAGUCUGAGUGGU
Small nucleolar RNA from Suncus etruscus (white-toothed pygmy shrew), 215 nucleotides. RefSeq annotates it as small nucleolar RNA U3. The record is from RefSeq and is a predicted model, not a curated record. Lineage: Eukaryota; Metazoa; Chordata; Mammalia; Eulipotyphla; Soricidae. The transcript has a single exon.